RNAcentral lists this long non-coding RNA (715 nucleotides) under Homo sapiens (human). RNAcentral's name for it is "HSALNT0402808". Lineage: Eukaryota; Metazoa; Chordata; Mammalia; Primates; Hominidae. The record is from RNAcentral.
GUUUGUGGGAGCUGCUUCCUCGAGACUCAGAAAGCUGCCGGGGUGGAUGGAGCUUUGACUGAGCCCAAGGGUGGUGGCUUCAGCACCCUAGGAAAUGUGCCAGCAAGGUCUACAGUAUCAGCAACUUUACCUCUCCCUCCCAAAGCUUUCUGGAGUGCUUAGUAGAAGACAGAGGACUCUAAAGUGUGAAUGUGGAAUGGAAAUCGAGGCCACUGGGAACGGCUGCGUCGAAGAGUAACUUGGGAACGCAUAGGGAUUCACAGGAUAGAUAUUGUCUGGAUAUCAGGGCGAAAUGUUAAUUAGGGAUCAAAAUGUCCUUUUAAAUUAGCUAUGUUGAAGAGAAAGGAGAAGACCAGGAAACAGAAGAAAGAUAUAUGUUAUGUGGUAUUUUGGAAUAAAUAUUUAUAGAAAACAAUGAUCUGUUUGUUUAAAAACUACCGAUCUAAAAUGCUGCCCCGUCUCAUCCCUUCUUCCUGCUUUAUUUUCCUUCUCACUGUUUAUUCCCUGACAUGUUGUAAACUACACUUAUUUAUCUUGCAAAUGUUUCCUACUAGAACGUAAGGCCCAUGAGGGCGGACGUUUUGCCUCAUUCUCUUUGGAACAGUGGACACACAGGGACUUACACAAAUAUCUGUUGAAUGAAUGAAUGUACGCUUCACAUUUGAUGACUUACUAAUGUAAUGAUGUCUGACCAAUAGAUAAAUCUUUUUCCGUA